This 253-nucleotide ribosomal RNA is filed under the name uncultured bacterium. Its description in RNAcentral is "partial 16S ribosomal RNA". It matches the Rfam family "Bacterial small subunit ribosomal RNA", at positions 524 to 776 of the family's 1533-position model. The record is from RNAcentral.
UACGUAGGGUGCGAGCGUUCAUCGGAAUUCCUGGGCGUAAAGAGUGCGUAGGCGGUUCUUGAAGUACGCUGUGAAAGGCCCGGGCUUAACCUGGGAAUGGCAGUGGAAACUGGGGGACUUGAAUUGAGCAGAGGGGGGUGGAAUGCCGCGUGUAGCAGUGAAAUGCGUAGAGAUGCGGCGGAACACCGAUGGCGAAGGCAGCCCCCUGGGCUUAAAUUGACGCUGAGGCACGAAAGCGUGGGGAGCAAACAGG